Non-coding RNA from Pelobates cultripes (western spadefoot toad), 433 nucleotides. The record is from the annotation of a GenBank genome assembly. NCBI's taxonomy places the organism in Eukaryota, Metazoa, Chordata, Amphibia, Anura, Pelobatidae.
GAUUUAUACAAAUAACAGAAAAUGUUAGAGGAUUCAGGUAAACUAAACAGUACAUUUCCCCAAUAAAAAAAUAAAUAAAAAAAUUCUCCCCUUUAAGAAUUAUAGGUUUUAAUUUAAAUGCAGUGGGGGUUAUCCAUGUAAACAACUUGCAGAAACUAUUGGAGACCCCUGCCUACAACAAACUUGUGAGCAAGUUCUUACCUCCUAGGAAAACCUAAUUCUAGUUAACCUUGGCCAAAAUGCAUUGAUCCACCAUGUAGAGACCAGACAGAUCAAAGCUUUCAAGUGUAGAUUAAAGGAAUUUUCAUUCGGCACACGAUUACAUUAUUCUUUGCUAAACUUUCCCUUGGCAUAGAGUCAGUCACUGUGUACCCAACUAUCGGAAGGGACAGGUCACCAUAGAACCUGGCCUUUCUGCUCGAAGGGAUUUUAC